GGCCAAUAUGUUCAAAUGUUCAUAGAUGACCAGCAUGGUCAAAUAAUGAUCACAGUGGUUGUAGAGGGUGCAACAGGUCAGCACCUCAGGAGUAAAUGUCAGUUGGCUUUUCAUAGACGAUCAUUCAGAGUUAGAGACAGCAGGUGCGGUAGAGAGAGGGAGAGUUGAAAACAGCAGGUCUGGGACAAGGUAGCACGUCCAGUGAACAGGUCAGGGUUCCAGCAGGUCUGGGACAGCAGGUCUGGGACAGGUAGCACGUCCGGUGAAUAGGUCAGGGUUCCAGCAGGUCUGGGACAGCAGGUCUGGGACAGGUAGCACGUCCGGUAAACAGGUCAGGGUUCCAGCAGGUCUGGGACAGCAGUUCUGGGACAGGUAGCACGUCCUGUGAACAGGUCAGGGUUCCAUAGCCGCAGGCAGAACAGUUGAAACUGGAGCAGCAGCAGGUGGACUGGAGACAGCAGGUGGACUGGGGACAGCAGGUGGACUGGGGACAGCAGGUGGACUGGGGACAGCAUUGGGACAGCAGGUGGACUGGGGACAGCAGGUGGACUGGGGACAGCAGGUGGACUGGAGACAGCAGGUGGACUGGGGACAGCAGGUGGACUGGAGACAGCAGGUGGACUGGGGACAGCAGGUGGACUGGAGACAGCAGGUGGACUGGGGACAGCAGGUGGACUGGAGACAGCAGGUGGACUGGGGACAGCAGGUGGACUGGGGACAGCAGGUGGACUGGGGACAGCAGGGAGUCCUCAGGCCAGAUAGUCCUGAGUCAUGGUCCUAGGGCACAGCUCCUCAGAGAGAGAGAGAGAGAGAGAGAGAGAGAGAACAGAGAGAGAUAGAGUUAGAGGGAGCAUAGUUAAAUUCACACAGGAUACUGGAUAAGACAGGAUAAACACUACAGAUAUAACAAACUGAUCCUAGCCACCAGACACAUAAACUACUGCAGCAUAAAUACAGCAGCCCUGCCAGCAUCUAUAGUCCUUAAAUACCAGUGGAUACCAGAGGAAUGGGUGGUCCCUGGUUGUACUGGUGGAUACCAGAGGACUGGGCUGUAAUACCAGUAGAUACCAGAGGAAUGGGUGGUCCCUGGUUGUACUGGUGGAUACCAG
Molecule: long non-coding RNA, 1109 nt
Filed under: Salmo salar (Atlantic salmon)
Lineage: Eukaryota; Metazoa; Chordata; Actinopteri; Salmoniformes; Salmonidae
Description: lncRNA (ENSSSAG00000121928.1)
Source: RNAcentral